Molecule: ribosomal RNA, 908 nt
Filed under: Dematiopleospora fusiformis
Lineage: Eukaryota; Fungi; Ascomycota; Dothideomycetes; Pleosporales; Phaeosphaeriaceae
Description: eukaryotic LSU rRNA
Rfam family: Eukaryotic large subunit ribosomal RNA
Source: RNAcentral
UAACCGCUGGAAAUUAAGCAUAUCAAUAAGCGGAGGAAAAGAAACCAACAGGGAUUGCCCUAGUAACGGCGAGUGAAGCGGCAACAGCUCAAAUUUGAAAUCUGGCUCUUUUAGGGUCCGAGUUGUAAUUUGCAGAGGGCGCUUUGGCGUUGGCAGCGGUCCAAGUUCUUUGGAACAGGACGUCACAGAGGGUGAGAAUCCCGUACGUGGUCGCUAUCCUUCGCCGUGUAAAGCCCCUUCGACGAGUCGAGUUGUUUGGGAAUGCAGCUCUAAAUGGGAGGUAAAUUUCUUCUAAAGCUAAAUACUGGCCAGAGACCGAUAGCGCACAAGUAGAGUGAUCGAAAGAUGAAAAGCACUUUGGAAAGAGAGUCAAACAGCACGUGAAAUUGUUGAAAGGGAAGCGCUUGCAGCCAGACUUGCCUGUAGUUGCUUAUCCGAGCUUUUGCUCGGUGCACUCUUCUGCAGGCAGGCCAGCAUCAGUUUGGGCGGUUAGAUAAAGGUCUCUGUCACGUACCUCUCUUCGGGGAGGCCUUAUAGGGGAGACGACAUGUAACCAGCCUAGACUGAGGUCCGCGCAUUUGCUAGGAUGCUGGCGUAAUGGCUGUAAGCGGCCCGUCUUGAAACACGGAUCAAGGAGUCUAACAUCUAUGCGAGUAUUUGGGUGUCAAGCCCAAGUGCGUAAUGAAAGUGAACGGAGGUAGGAACCCUUUGGGUGCACUAUCGACCGAUCCUGAUGUCUUCGGAAGGAUUUGAGUAAGAGCAUGGCUGUUGGGACCCGAAAGAUGGUGAACUAUGCUUGAAUAGGGUGAAGCCAGAGGAAACUCUGGUGGAGGCUCGCAGCGGUUCUGACGUGCAAAUCGAUCGUCAAAUUUGGGCAUAGGGGCGAAAGACUAAUCGAGCAGCAGGGA